UACAGAGGUCUCAACCGUUGUUCGGAUUCAUUGGGCGUAAAGAGCUCGUAGGCGGUUUGUCACGUCUGCUGUGAAAACUGGAGGCUCAACCUCCAGCCUGCAGUGGGUACGGGGCAGACUAGAGUGCGGUAGGGGAGUUUGGAAUUCCUGGUGUAGCGGUGGAAUGCGCAGAUAUCAGGAGGAACACCGAUGGCGAAGGCAGAUCUCUGGGCCGUAACUGACGCUGAGAAGCGAAAGCAUGGGGAGCGAACAGG
This 254-nucleotide ribosomal RNA is filed under the name uncultured bacterium. RNAcentral's name for it is "partial 16S ribosomal RNA". It matches the Rfam family "Bacterial small subunit ribosomal RNA", at positions 524 to 776 of the family's 1533-position model. The record is from RNAcentral.